UGAAACCGAAAACAAAGGACAAUUGAGGCGUGUUGGGUAAUUUUGGAUUAUUGGUGGCACCCUUAGGCGUAGCUUUUGGGUCCUUCAGCAGUAGCCGCGACUCGCAUAGGUGAGAAUCGGAAUUCACCAUACUCUGUUCUGCAAUGGCCAAGAUCGAAGAACUGAACGAGUCCGUGGCCAAAUCAAGGACCAAGAGGAAUCACGGCUCAACCAGAUUCUUCAUCUUUGUUGAUUACCUUUUCAUUUUGAUCUUCCUUGGAUUCCUCUGCUUCAUCUUUUUCAAGAUUCUCGGCAUUUGAUUUGAUUCCCAAUCCACCGUGCGUUCCGAGCUAGGAUAUUCGCGUGACAUAGUUAUGAUUCCAUUACAAACCUAGGUACAAGCUUGAAGGCAGGGUCAACUAGCAAGUACAAUUUUUUUUCUCAGAUCCUAUGUUGUAAUACUUGAAUUUUACAUGUUUCUCCAGUUUUGCUCUCAAAAUUUUACAUUGUUCAUUUUCCCUAGCUAUUGUCUGUCAUUUGUUUCUUGUUUAUUACAUUUAUCUUUUCACGUAUGAUUUCCACUUUCACUUCCUUUUUCCUUGACUUUGGUAAGAAGGAUGACAACACUAAGAUGAAUAUCAAAGUACAUUGCAGAGAUUAAAAGCU
Vigna unguiculata (cowpea) is the source of this 645-nucleotide long non-coding RNA. RefSeq lists it as uncharacterized. Lineage: Eukaryota; Viridiplantae; Streptophyta; Magnoliopsida; Fabales; Fabaceae. The record is from RefSeq and is a predicted model, not a curated record.